ACGGGAGGCAGCAGUGGGGAAUAUUGCACAAUGGGGGAAACCCUGAUGCAGCGACGCCGCGUGAGUGAAGAAGUAUUUCGGUAUGUAAAGCUCUAUCAGCAGGGAAGAAAAUGACGGUACCUGACUAAGAAGCCCCGGCUAACUACGUGCCAGCAGCCGCGGUAAUACGUAGGGGGCAAGCGUUAUCCGGAUUUACUGGGUGUAAAGGGAGCGUAGACGGCGAGACAAGUCUGAUGUGAAAGGUGGGGGCUCAACCCCCAAACUGCAUUGGAAACUGCCUGGCUUGAGUGCCGGAGAGGUAAGCGGAAUUCCUAGUGUAGCGGUGAAAUGCGUAGAUAUUAGGAGGAACACCAGUGGCGAAGGCGGCUUACUGGACGGUAACUGACGUUGAGGCUCGAAAGCGUGGGGAGCAAACAGGAUUAGAUACCCUGGUA
RNAcentral lists this ribosomal RNA (434 nucleotides) under uncultured Clostridium sp. Its description in RNAcentral is "partial 16S ribosomal RNA". It matches the Rfam family "Bacterial small subunit ribosomal RNA", at positions 341 to 792 of the family's 1533-position model. The record is from RNAcentral. RNAcentral also lists the same sequence under 1 other name. Lineage: Bacteria; Bacillati; Bacillota; Clostridia; Eubacteriales; Clostridiaceae.